GACGAACGCUGGCGGCGUGCUUAACACAUGCAAGUCGAACGGUGAAGCGCCUUCCUUUUUGGUGAGUGUGGAUGAGUGGCGAACGGGUGAGUAACACGUGAGUAACCUGCCCCCUUCUUCUGGAUAACCGCAUGAAAGUGUGGCUAAUACGGGAUAUUCUGGGUCUGUGGCAUGAUGGGUCUGGGAAAGAUAUUGUUUCGGUGGGGGAUGGGCUCGCGGCCUAUCAGCUUGUUGGUGGGGUGAUGGCCUACCAAGGCGGUGACGGGUAGCCGGCCUGAGAGGGUGGACGGUCACACUGGGACUGAGACACGGCCCGGACUCCUACGGGAGGCAGCAGUGGGGAAUAUUGCACAAUGGGCGCAAGCCUGAUGCAGCGACGCCGCGUGAGGGAUGGAGGCCUUCGGGUUGUGAACCUCUUUCGCCAGUGAAGCAGGCCUGCCUCGUUUGUGGGUGGGUUGACGGUAGCUGGAUAAGAAGCGCCGGCUAACUACGUG
RNAcentral lists this ribosomal RNA (494 nucleotides) under uncultured bacterium. RNAcentral describes it as "partial 16S ribosomal RNA". It matches the Rfam family "Bacterial small subunit ribosomal RNA", at positions 28 to 507 of the family's 1533-position model. The record is from RNAcentral.